UUGGAGGGCAAGUCUGGUGCCAGCAGCCGCGGUAAUUCCAGCUCCAAUAGCGUAUAUUAAAGUUGUUGCAGAUAAAAAGCUCGUAGUUGAAUUUCGGGGUUAGUAGGUUGGUCAUGCCACUGGUAUGUACUGGUCUCACUGAUUCCUCCUUCCUGAUGAGACGUAAUGCCAUUAAUUUGGUGUUGCGAGGAAUCUGGACUGUUACUUUGAAAAAAUUAGAGUGUUUAAAGCAGGCUAACGCUUGAAUACAUUAGCAUGGAAUAAUGAAAUAGGACGUUCGAUCUUAUUUUGUUGGUUUCUAGGAUUGACGUAAUGAUUAAUAGGGAUAGUUGGGGGCAUUAGUAUUCAAUUGUCGGAGGCGAAAUUCUUGGAUUUAUUGAAGACUAACUACUGCGAAAGCAUUUGCCAAGGAUGUUUUCAUUAAUCAAGAACGAAAGUUAGGGGAUCGAAGACGAUCAGAUACCGUCGUAGUCUUAACCAUAAACUAUGCCGACUAGGGAUCGGAUGAUGUUAAUUUUUUAAUGACUCAUUCGGCGCCUUACGGGAAACCAAAGUGUUUGGGUUC
Molecule: ribosomal RNA, 565 nt
Filed under: uncultured Glomeromycotina
Lineage: Eukaryota; Fungi; Glomeromycota
Description: SSU rRNA
Rfam family: Eukaryotic small subunit ribosomal RNA
Source: RNAcentral